This 253-nucleotide ribosomal RNA is filed under the name uncultured bacterium. RNAcentral describes it as "partial 16S ribosomal RNA". It matches the Rfam family "Bacterial small subunit ribosomal RNA", at positions 524 to 776 of the family's 1533-position model. The record is from RNAcentral.
UACGGGGGGGGCAAGCGUUGUUCGGAAUUACUGGGCGUAAAGGGUUCGUAGGUGGCGUGCUAAGUCAGACGUGAAAUCCCUCAGCUUAACUGGGGAACUGCGUCUGAGACUGGCAGGCUCGAGUGCAGGAGAGGAACGCGGAAUUCCAGGUGUAGCGGCGAAAUGCGUAGAUAUCUGGAGGAACACCGGUGGCGAAGGCGGCGUUCUGGACUGCAACUGACACUGAUGAACGAAAGCCAGGGGAGCAAACGGG